RNAcentral lists this ribosomal RNA (468 nucleotides) under uncultured bacterium. RNAcentral's name for it is "partial 16S ribosomal RNA". It matches the Rfam family "Bacterial small subunit ribosomal RNA", at positions 28 to 507 of the family's 1533-position model. The record is from RNAcentral.
GACGAACGCUGGCGGCGUGCUUAACACAUGCGAGUCGAACGGAAAGGCCCUGCUUUUGUGGGGUGCUCGAGUGGCGAACGGGUGAGUAACACGUGAGUAACCUGCCCUUGACUUUGGGAUAACUUCAGGAAACUGGGGCUAAUACCGGAUAGGAGCUCCUGCUGCAUGGUGGGGGUUGGAAAGUUUCGGCGGUUGGGGAUGGACUCGCGGCUUAUCAGCUUGUUGGUGGGGUAGUGGCUUACCAAGGCUUUGACGGGUAGCCGGCCUGAGAGGGUGACCGGAAACAUUGGGACUGAGAUACGGCCCAGACUCCGACGGGAGGCAGCAGUGGGGAAUAUUGCACAAUGGGCGGAAGCCUGAUGCAGCAACGCCGCGUGCGGGAUGACGGCCUUCGGGUUGUAAACCGCUUUCGCCUGUGACGAAGCGUGAGUGACGGUAAUGGGUAAAGAAGCACCGGCUAACUACGUG